CUUCAACCCGAACUGAAGGCCCACCCCUACUUCGUCGGUCCGGAUCUGGUGGCUCUGUCCAUCCCUCCGUCUCCGGAGCGGUCCCUAGGGAACGGCUCGGCCCCCCCCCACACCCCCUUGGUCCCGGAAACACAUCGGUGAAGAACGUCACUGGGGUCACUGCCCAUCCUGCCCGACUUCAGAGGGAUGACCUCCCCGGACUUCGUUUGGCUUCGGCGACCGGGCCUUUGUUUGGGCUGGAGGAAGCUGGAUUGGUGUGAAGUGAAAAGAUCUACAUUUCGUACGGAAAAAAAAAAAAGUCUCCAGAAGUGCCCCUGCCUCAACCAACCUGAGAUGGAAACCAACAAAUAGACAUUAUGAUAGAAAAUAAGGGCUCUGAGAAAUCAGCAACUGGAAGAUAACUCUGUAACUAAUAAAUGAAAAGAGCCUUUUGAUGGCUCCAGCUGAAAAGA
Long non-coding RNA from Ornithorhynchus anatinus (platypus), 452 nucleotides. RefSeq lists it as uncharacterized. The transcript is spliced from 2 exons. The record is from RefSeq and is a predicted model, not a curated record. NCBI's taxonomy places the organism in Eukaryota, Metazoa, Chordata, Mammalia, Monotremata, Ornithorhynchidae.